AGCAGCGUGGCUCAGUGGAAAGAGCACAGGCUUGGGAGUCAGAGGUCAUGGGUUCGAAUCCCGGCUCUGCCA
This 72-nucleotide transfer RNA is filed under the name Ornithorhynchus anatinus (platypus). It matches the Rfam family "tRNA". Rfam says of the family: Transfer RNA (tRNA) molecules are approximately 80 nucleotides in length. Their secondary structure includes four short double-helical elements and three loops (D, anti-codon, and T loops). The record is from Rfam by way of RNAcentral. Lineage: Eukaryota; Metazoa; Chordata; Mammalia; Monotremata; Ornithorhynchidae.